Molecule: long non-coding RNA, 814 nt
Filed under: Nicotiana benthamiana
Lineage: Eukaryota; Viridiplantae; Streptophyta; Magnoliopsida; Solanales; Solanaceae
Description: long non-coding RNA (NBEN_LNC033445)
Source: RNAcentral
CAGAUAAUCCGCUUUUCAAACGCCUAUGCUCAAGCCACCGCCGGCUUUCCGGGAGAGUCAAGUGGCACUCAAUACGGGCACUUGGGUAUGGAAGAUGAUGAUGAGGUGCCGGAUACCGAUGAUGACGAUGACGGUGAUGAUGAUGAUGAUGAAGCAACGGCGAGUGACGGAGAUGACAACAGCUCCUAGAAGCUUUUAGAGCUCAAGCUCGACUCUCUUUCUCCUUAGUUUAUGUUUUGAAUAAUUUUUUAAUGCUUCCAUUAAGUACUCCAUCUUUAUUCCCUUAAUCAAUAAAAAUUUUGCUAAUGUCAAUAGGGGGAAGAAAAGGGCUAUGCAUAAAUUGAGGGGGAACUCAUUACGCAUUUGGCACAAACGUUUAAACACCUAUGCAUAUCCCCAUUUCGGUUUGCCAUUAUCAAAAAGGGGGAAAUUGUUGGAAUACACUUUCAAAGACGUUGAACUAAAGUCGUGUUCGUUUUUGUAGGUUUUUAUUAAUGACAAACGGACGUGGAUGCAAAGUUGACAAAGGCCAAAUCGUCGUGAAUACGAAGAUAUCAUUGAAUAAACAAGGUUUUGAUGAAUGACAAACCGACGUGGAUGCAAAGUUGACAAAUUCCAAAACGUCGUGAAUACGAAGAUAUCAUGGAACAAACAAGGCGAGAAUUAUGGCUAACGGACCAAGGAAGAGUCCAAGUUGAGAAGAGUCAAGAACAAGACCAAGAGAUGUAUUGAAGACAUUAUUGAGUUGUUUGCAUUGUGAUCUUGAUCCGACAAUGGAUUCGUCUUGGCUUCUCUCUAAAAUCAUUUUAUCAAA